Molecule: ribosomal RNA, 253 nt
Filed under: uncultured bacterium
Lineage: Bacteria
Description: partial 16S ribosomal RNA
Rfam family: Bacterial small subunit ribosomal RNA
Source: RNAcentral
UACGAAGGGGGCUAGCGUUGCUCGGAAUCACUGGGCGUAAAGGGUGCGUAGGCGGGUCUUUAAGUCAGGGGUGAAAUCCUGGAGCUCAACUCCAGAACUGCCUUUGAUACUGGCGAUCUUGAGUCCGGGAGAGGUGAGUGGAACUGCGAGUGUAGAGGUGAAAUUCGUAGAUAUUCGCAAGAACACCAGUGGCGAAGGCGGCUCACUGGCCCGGUACUGACGUUGAGGUGCGAAAGCGUGGGGAGCAAACAGG